AAAGGGGCAAGAGAUAUUUUCUUGAUUGUAUGUUUACAUGGUUAAUGUCCAAAACUGCCAUUUGGCAUAGGCAUAUGUCAUAGAUAGGAUACAAAACCAUUAAACGUUCACAAUUGUUUAUGCUAAAAAUAAUUAAACCAUGCCUUAAAGUAAUUUUAGCUUAUUGUAUUUUCCGUUGGGUUAUUAUUAUUAUUAUACAAUCAAUAAAAGGGAAAAAUUGUAAUUGAUUAUUAUGAAAAGAGAAUAAUAAUAAC
RNAcentral lists this unclassified non-coding RNA (254 nucleotides) under Hevea brasiliensis (rubber tree). Lineage: Eukaryota; Viridiplantae; Streptophyta; Magnoliopsida; Malpighiales; Euphorbiaceae. The record is from RNAcentral.